UAGGGAAUCUUCGGCAAUGGGGGGAACCCUGACCGAGCAACGCCGCGUGAGUGAAGAAGGUUUUCGGAUCGUAAAGCUCUGUUGUUAAGGAAGAACGAGUGUGAGAAUGGAAAGUUCAUGCUGUGACGGUACUUAACCAGAAAGGGACGGCUAACUACGUGCCAGCAGCCGCGGUAAUACGUAGGUCCCGAGCGUUGUCCGGAUUUAUUGGGCGUAAAGCGAGCGCAGGCGGUUAGAAAAGUCUGAAGUGAAAGGCAGUGGCUCAACCAUUGUAGGCUUUGGAAACUGUUUAACUUGAGUGCAGAAGGGGAGAGAGGAAUUCCAUGUGUAGCGGUGAAAUGCGUAGAUAUAUGGAGGAACACCGGUGGCGAAAGCGGCUCUCUGGUCUGUAACUGACGCUGAGGCUAGAAAGCGUGGGGAGCGAACAGG
This 429-nucleotide ribosomal RNA is filed under the name Bacteroidota bacterium. Its description in RNAcentral is "Bacteroidetes bacterium partial 16S ribosomal RNA". It matches the Rfam family "Bacterial small subunit ribosomal RNA", at positions 355 to 776 of the family's 1533-position model. The record is from RNAcentral. Lineage: Bacteria; Pseudomonadati; Bacteroidota.